CUUCCCUACCAUAUGAUAGAAUUCGUACUGGAUGAUUUUGAAUGGUUGGUUCAUUUUUAGGCACUUCUUCAUAUUUUACUUUUUUCAACAUUACUGUGGUUUGUUUAAAAUUAUGCAUUUGGAUUUUAGCUGUGCUGACAAUUACUUCAAAGAUCAUAAUGGAAACAGUUUGUCUUGUUCCCAUCUGUAGGUUUAACAACCCCUUAUGCUUCAAUUUGUGCACAAAUUUAGUGUUUGUUUUGUUAAAUUCAUAAAACUAAGCAUGGAGCUGGCAAUAAUAUUUGACAAUUUGGUCUAAAAUUUUGAUUUAGUGGUAUGGUGUUUCGGAUUUGUACUGUGCUUUAUUGAUAUAUCAUAUGUACUCAUAAACUGAUCUUCUAUAAUGCUAUAUCUUGUUCAGCAAGGUGAGAGUCAGUCUUAGAUAUGCAGACCUUGUAUCUGUACUUCCAACUCGAGUCAGAGUAUUUGCAUGGCCAAUGAAUCAAUUCAAGAAAAAUGGAGCACUUGGAAGUCACCCAAGCCCUGCUCGCCUAUCUUAUGCUGAGGAUGCCUUAAGAACCAUGAGUUUACCAGAAGGUGCUACUUUUCUUCAAAUCUAUAGCUUCUUAUUUGUCAGGGUUAACUUACCGGUGGAUGAUGUUUGCCUGCGGUCUUUUGUUCUGGAUCUUCUCUUAUUUACCUACUU
RNAcentral lists this unclassified non-coding RNA (685 nucleotides) under Hevea brasiliensis (rubber tree). The record is from RNAcentral. Lineage: Eukaryota; Viridiplantae; Streptophyta; Magnoliopsida; Malpighiales; Euphorbiaceae.